GACUGUGACGUUCGAACAUGAGCAGGGAUCCCCAUUCUGUUCUAACCGGAAAUGUAUACGUCUCCAACCCCAUCUUCCUUCCGGGGUGCGGACGUGGUACAGUAUUCAAUUUGGAAGGCUGGGAUAUUCGGAGACGGCGGGCAUGACAGGAUGGGGUUGCAACGAGGGCCAGCAGUCAAAAAGGCCACUUGAUACACUGAGUCCAAGACACUGACGUCCGAGCCAGGUGACUCUGGACAAAGUGGAUGGCUCUGAGCCUCGUCAGCAGCAUAAGAAUGAGACCCUGCCCACAGACCCCUAAGGACUCACCGGGUUCAGCAUGCGUGGGGCGCUUGUUUGCUGCGAGCCCAAGUAUGGAACGGCUAGGCACACGGCAGACAGCUCCUCCUUUGUGGGUGAAUGGGCAGAGCACCCACGGGACGUAACGUCCAAGCCACAGCCCUGCUGAGAGUCAGGCAGUCCCCAACAUUCGUUAGGUCCCCUGCCGUGGCCAUGAGGCUAAGUCCAGGGCCAGUCAGGGCAAAGCGGACAGCUGUCACCCACGUCUACAUGGGUUGUUUCUGCAGCUGUUUGCCCCACCUCUGCUGCCUGCACCUCUCAGUUCAGCUCCAGGACCUGUCAGCUGAGCAGCCCGAGGCAAGUUAGUAUGUACCUGUGCUGCCUCGGUUUCCCCAUCUGUUAAGGGGAACCGCUAAGCAUGGCCACUCCCUAGGACCGUGUGCUGAGGAGGAAAUACACUGAGACGCCAGCCUCCGGGGACGGUGCUGUCACUUCCCAGCCUGUGUGAGCGCUGAAGCCGUCCUGCUGCAGCUCCUCAGCUUGGUACCGAGCUAUCAAGGGGAGUAACGAUGUGCCCUGAAGUGUGAAGCUUUUUGGUGACCUGGGGAUUCUCCCACCACCAAAUGUGUAUCUGAGACCUGGUCCCACUCAGCAGCGAGCCUCCAAUGAGCCUCUGGGAAGGCGAAAAAGGAAGAAAGAGCACCCAGCAUCUGGAGAGCAGCCCGGCACCCACAGCCAGCCUGGCAUUCCCGUGGAUACAAUCGAGGUUCCGGGGGAUGAAACCCAGGGAGACACACUGCUUGCAGGGCCGCUCAGGGACGGUCACCCACGAAACAUCGGACACACCCUCUCCCCGCCAACACGACCGCCGCUCCUGCAUCGAACACAGCUUCGGCCUUGCUGCGUCUGCCUCUCCAGAGAAGAUGCACAGAGAUACCGAAUCACAGAGGGACUCAUUCCCACUUCCCGUCGGUGCUCAGUCCUGAUAAAUCCCUGCUGUGCAGAGCCCAGAAUCACCAAAUCAGCCCGAGUUCCAACAGUCCCUUCUGCAUGCUGCCAAGAUGCCCACAGUCCCCUCGGUGUCUGCCCUUCUGCGCUGCAGGGGACAGUGAGCCCCACCUGCCUGGCAAAGGGCUGCCCCAGUGGUCUGAGGCUGGAGGACACGGCAGCGCCCAAGGGGGUGAUGCCGGGGGAGCAGGGGAGCAAAGGACAACAGAGUGGGGUCUCCAGCGAUGCCCGCCUUCAAUGGGCUCAGAAGAAGACAUCAGGACAAAUUCAGCACUGGAUUCCAAAGCAAGGUCUCUGUCCUGGAUUCCAGUCUCAGUCUGCUAUUUCCUGUGGGCAGUCGUGCAAGCAAAGAGUCCCAGAUCCAAGACCAGCCAUGCACACUCACUCCCCAUGUGACCUCGGGCAAGUCCCCUCCCCUCCCGGAGCCCCAUGCCUCAUGUGUAGAAAGGGGGACACGAGGAACUCCCUGCAGAGUCACUGUCCAGACGUGCCAGCCUUCCAGAAGCGUCUGACGCAUUCAUUCAGGAACAUACGCCCGUGGGCUCCUGCUAGGACCAAGCUCGUCCUAGAGUGCACAAGGCCGUCACCCCACUGCAGCUCACAGCCCGGUACAGGAGACAGACCAGCCAGGAAGCGGGGGGCACAGGUGAUAUUGCAGGCUGUGACGGACAAAGGGGACCCUCCUGGAAUGCAGGAAAGCCGGUGA
Fukomys damarensis (Damara mole-rat) is the source of this 1993-nucleotide long non-coding RNA. Lineage: Eukaryota; Metazoa; Chordata; Mammalia; Rodentia; Bathyergidae. The record is from Ensembl.